CCCCGAGGAAAAGAAAUCAACCGAGAUUCCCCCAGUAGCGGCGAGCGAACGGGGAGCAGCCCAGAGCCUGAAUCAGUGUGUGUGUUAGUGGAAGCGUCUGGAAAGGCGCGCGAUACAGGGUGACAGCCCCGUACACAAAAAUGCACAUGCUGUGAGCUCGAUGAGUAGGGCGGGACACGUGGUAUCCUGUCUGAAUAUGGGGGGACCAUCCUCCAAGGCUAAAUACUCCUGACUGACCGAUAGUGAACCAGUACCGUGAGGGAAAGGCGAAAAGAACCCCGGCGAGGGGAGUGAAAAAGAACCUGAAACCGUGUACGUACAAGCAGUGGGAGCACGCUUAGGCGUGUGACUGCGUACCUUUUGUAUAAUGGGUCAGCGACUUAUAUUCUGUAGCAAGGUUAACCGAAUAGGGGAGCCGAAGGGAAACCGAGUCUUAACUGGGCGUUAAGUUGCAGGGUAUAGACCCGAAACCCGGUGAUCUAGCCAUGGGCAGGUUGAAGGUUGGGUAACACUAACUGGAGGACCGAACCGACUAAUGUUGAAAAAUUAGCGGAUGACUUGUGGCUGGGGGUGAAAGGCCAAUCAAACCGGGAGAUAGCUGGUUCUCCCCGAAAGCUAUUUAGGUAGCGCCUCGUGAAUUCAUCUCCGGGGGUAGAGCACUGUUUCGGCAAGGGGGUCAUCCCGACUUACCAACCCGAUGCAAACUGCGAAUACCGGAGAAUGUUAUCACGGGAGACACACGGCGGGUGCUAACGUCCGUCGUGAAGAGGGAAACAACCCAGACCGCCAGCUAAGGUCCCAAAGUCAUGGUUAAGUGGGAAACGAUGUGGGAAGGCCCAGACAGCCAGGAUGUUGGCUUAGAAGCAGCCAUCAUUUAAAGAAAGCGUAAUAGCUCACUGGUCGAGUCGGCCUGCGCGGAAGAUGUAACGGGGCUAAACCAUG
This 942-nucleotide ribosomal RNA is filed under the name Escherichia coli. RNAcentral describes it as "partial 23S ribosomal RNA". It matches the Rfam family "Bacterial large subunit ribosomal RNA", at positions 209 to 1191 of the family's 2925-position model. Lineage: Bacteria; Pseudomonadati; Pseudomonadota; Gammaproteobacteria; Enterobacterales; Enterobacteriaceae. The record is from RNAcentral.